RNAcentral lists this long non-coding RNA (326 nucleotides) under Rattus norvegicus (Norway rat). RNAcentral describes it as "long non-coding RNA NONRATT018826". The record is from RNAcentral. Lineage: Eukaryota; Metazoa; Chordata; Mammalia; Rodentia; Muridae.
UGCUUUUCUUUGCCUCUCAGAUGGCCUCUACCGUCUCCUCCCAAACUUAAUUCAGUCUUAAUUCACACCCGCCAGACCCCAGUGCCAUUCAUCAGGGUUGAGCAGAGGAAAAGAGGAGAACAUGGACAUCUUGGUACCCUACUUCGUGAUUCUUGGAACUACAGAAAGGAAAGGUAGAGGGGCUGCUCUUUGUUCCCUUAUCUCUGGGAGCCAGUGACAGUCUGUCCUCCAAAUCUGCUGAUCACAUGGUACGUUAUCAGUCCUGCCUGUCAUUGCCAGGGCUGCGGGGUUGUUGAUGUUUGAUGAAACAGCACCUGAGCGCCAAA